CCUACGGGGGGCAGCAGUAGGGAAUCUUCCACAAUGGGCGAAAGCCUGAUGGAGCAACGCCGCGUGGGUGAAGAAGGUCUUCGGAUCGUAAAACCCUGUUGUUAGAGAAGAAAGUGCGUGAGAGUAACUGUUCACGUUUCGACGGUAUCUAACCAGAAAGCCACGGCUAACUACGUGCCAGCAGCCGCGGUAAUACGUAGGUGGCAAGCGUUAUCCGGAUUUAUUGGGCGUAAAGGGAACGCAGGCGGUCUUUUAAGUCUGAUGUGAAAGCCUUCGGCUUAACCGGAGUAGUGCAUUGGAAACUGGGGGACGUGAGUGCAGAAGAGGAGAGCGGAACUCCAUGUGUAGCGGUGAAAUGCGUAGAUAUAUGGAAGAACACCAGUGGCGAAAGCGGCUAUCUGGCCAGUAACUGACGCUGAGGUUCGAAAGCGUGGGUAGCAAACAGGAUUAGAUACCCGGGUAGUC
This 465-nucleotide ribosomal RNA is filed under the name uncultured bacterium. RNAcentral's name for it is "partial 16S ribosomal RNA". It matches the Rfam family "Bacterial small subunit ribosomal RNA", at positions 338 to 795 of the family's 1533-position model. The record is from RNAcentral.